AUUGAACGCUGGCGGCAGGCUUAACACAUGCAAGUCGAACGAGUGGCGGACGGGUGAGUAAUGCUUGGGAAUCUAGCUUAUGGAGGGGGAUAACUACGGGAAACUGUAGCUAAUACCGCGUACCAUAGGAUGAGCCGAUGUGGGAUUAGGUAGUUGGUGAGGUAAAGGCUCACCAAGCCGACGAUCUCUAGCUGGUCUGAGAGGAUGACCAGACACACUGGGACUGAGACACGGCCCAGACUCCUACGGGAGGCAGCAGUGGGGAAUAUUGCGCAAUGGGAGCAAGCUGACUCAGCCAUGCCGCGUGGAUGAAGAAGGCCUUCGGGUUGUAAAGUUCUUUCGGUAGCGAGGCGUUACCUACAGAAGAAGCACCGGCUAACUCCGUGCCAGCAGCCGCGGUAAUAC
Molecule: ribosomal RNA, 405 nt
Filed under: uncultured bacterium
Lineage: Bacteria
Description: partial 16S ribosomal RNA
Rfam family: Bacterial small subunit ribosomal RNA
Source: RNAcentral